CUUCAUUCUCUUGGAGUAGCGUUUCAUGCUCGUGGUAAUUGGCAACCCACCUUGGAUGGUGUUUGCCAAGUAAAGUUUCCAUUAACUUGUCAGAUGAGCAACUACCAUGGGAAAGAGGCCCUUUCUGCUUCAAUACAUUUCCAUGAUGCCCAGUCAUACUCUGGUGAGAUGUAUCUCCAUUUCCUUGGUCCAACUCAGUGGAAGCCUCAUGAUUCUCAUCAUCACCAAACUCAAAAAGAUGCAACAUUUCUUCCCGAGAAAUAGUUCGGUAUACCUGCUGGCGGUCAACAACUCUUGCA
Molecule: unclassified non-coding RNA, 299 nt
Filed under: Hevea brasiliensis (rubber tree)
Lineage: Eukaryota; Viridiplantae; Streptophyta; Magnoliopsida; Malpighiales; Euphorbiaceae
Source: RNAcentral